This 253-nucleotide ribosomal RNA is filed under the name uncultured bacterium. RNAcentral describes it as "partial 16S ribosomal RNA". It matches the Rfam family "Bacterial small subunit ribosomal RNA", at positions 524 to 776 of the family's 1533-position model. The record is from RNAcentral.
UACGUAGGCAGCGAGCGUUGUUCGGAGUUACUGGGCGUAAAGGGUGCGCAGGCGGUGGAGCAAGUCUGUUGUGAAAUCUCCCGGCUUAACCGGGAGGGUGCGGCGGAAACUGUUCUGCUGGAGUGAGGGAGAGGCAAGCGGAAUUCCUGGUGUAGCGGUGAAAUGCGUAGAUAUCAGGAGGAACACCCGUGGUGCAGACGGCUUGCUGGACCUCCACUGACGCUGAGGCGCGAAGGCGUGGGGAGCGAACGGG